Molecule: non-coding RNA, 275 nt
Organism: Odocoileus virginianus texanus
Lineage: Eukaryota; Metazoa; Chordata; Mammalia; Artiodactyla; Cervidae
Source: RefSeq, a predicted model, not a curated record
GAACAGUGAUGGCACUUAUUUCUGUUACGAGUUUCUCAGUGGACUGUGGAUUGACUGAACUAUACCCAUUCCCAUCAUGAUGUAUACCACCAAGGCUCCUCACUACACCUGUGUUCUAAUUAGAGGUGAAAUAAAUGACAUUCAGAACUUCCACUAAGGUACUAUAAGCUUUCGUGGUGACAUGGCAUCUGGUUUCUUUCUACAAGGAAAGUUCAGCACACAGCACAGUCAUUGAUACAUUGGAUUGGUUUGAGGAUCCUACCUGGAGUAGGUAU